GAAAUAGAACGUCCUCUGUGCAUAUAAUCGUCUUCCUUAAUACCGGGAGACUUUAUUAUCCUAUUUGAGCUAAUACUACUUUGCAGACUAGGUCGGAUAGGAUGAUCGAGGUUUGAAUGACCAGCAUUCUUAAUUGGUAUAGGAAUGGAAGAGGAAGAAGUAGGAGGAUGUAGUAGAUUACUAGUAUCGCUUGGACUUACGGCAUAAGCACGAUCUAAUUCAUCAAUAUUGAUUGGGUCAACAGGGGUAGAAAUAGUAAGGGCCUCGGCUGGAGGCUGUUCAGCCAUUCUGAAAGCUUC
Molecule: non-coding RNA, 299 nt
Organism: Schizosaccharomyces pombe (fission yeast)
Lineage: Eukaryota; Fungi; Ascomycota; Schizosaccharomycetes; Schizosaccharomycetales; Schizosaccharomycetaceae
Source: the annotation of a GenBank genome assembly